GACGUAGGGCGCGAGCGUUGUCCGGAUUUAUUGGGCGUAAAGGGCUCGUAGGCGGUUUGUCGCGUCGGGAGUGAAAACACACAGCUUAACUGUGUGCUUGCUUCCGAUACGGGCAGACUAGAGGUAUGCAGGGGAGAACGGAAUUCCUGGUGUAGCGGUGAAAUGCGCAGAUAUCAGGAGGAACACCGGUGGCGAAGGCGGUUCUCUGGGCCGUAACUGACGCUGAGGAGCGAAAGCGUGGGGAGCGAACAGG
Molecule: ribosomal RNA, 253 nt
Filed under: uncultured bacterium
Lineage: Bacteria
Description: partial 16S ribosomal RNA
Rfam family: Bacterial small subunit ribosomal RNA
Source: RNAcentral